Molecule: ribosomal RNA, 324 nt
Filed under: uncultured Lachnospiraceae bacterium
Lineage: Bacteria; Bacillati; Bacillota; Clostridia; Lachnospirales; Lachnospiraceae
Description: bacterial SSU rRNA
Rfam family: Bacterial small subunit ribosomal RNA
Source: RNAcentral
GGGGAAUAUUGCACAAUGGAGGAAACUCUGAUGCAGCGACGCCGCGUGAGCGAAGAAGUAUUUCGGUAUGUAAAGCUCUGUCAGCAGGGAAGAUAAUGACGGUACCUGACCAAGAAGCCCCGGCUAACUACGUGCCAGCAGCCGCGGUAAUACGUAGGGGCAAGCGUUAUCCGGAUUUACUGGGUGUAAAGGGAGUGUAGGUGGCUGCGCAAGUCAGGAGUGAAAGCCCGGGGCUCAACCCCGGGACUGCUCUUGAAACUGCGCGGCUUGAGUGCAGGAGGGGCAGGCGGAAUUCCUAGUGUAGCGGUGAAAUGCGUAGAUAUU